GGCGGCCCGAGUGGUAACCGUUUUUAUUGGGUUUAAAGGGUCCGUAGCCGGCUUAUUAAGUCUCUUGGGAAAUCUGGCGGCUCAAUCGUCAGGCGGCCAAGAGAUACUGGUAGGCUUGGGACCGGGAGAGGUGGGAGGUACUCCAGGGGUAGGGGUGAAAUCUCGUAAUCCUUGGGGGACCACCGAUGGCGAAGGCAUCCCACCAGAACGGGUCCGACGGUGAGGGACGAAAGCUGGGGGCACGAACC
Molecule: ribosomal RNA, 248 nt
Filed under: uncultured euryarchaeote
Lineage: Archaea; Methanobacteriati; Methanobacteriota
Description: partial 16S ribosomal RNA
Rfam family: Archaeal small subunit ribosomal RNA
Source: RNAcentral